UAUGGUCGAAGAUGGUUCAGGAAACGGACAAGUCGAAACAGACGGACUGGCCCGCGACCGUCCUGCUCCUUGCUGCGGUUCAACCAGUCAAACAGAAGCCAGCCAAGGGGUCACUUUGACCAGACCGCAAAUUGAAGAGUCUUUCUUCUUUGUCUUUCAAAAUUCUAGUCAAAUGUUUUUAAUUUUAUUUGUCUUUCAAACUUCUAGUCAAGUAGCCCCUUUGUCUCCUACUUGUACUAUAAAUAAGUGUUUCAUUUCAUGAAUAAAAUCAGAUCAUUUUGGAUUAAGUUUUUGAGUUUAAACUCUCUGUUCUCUUUAGAACUUGUUUUCGAUUGUCUUAGUGUGUCAUAUCUGAGCAAUUCACUUCUCAACUAGUUGGUCUUGUGAGUCAUAUCAAGCAACCAGUUCGAGAUCUUCCUUGGCGGACUUGUGAGUCAUAUCAAGCGCCAUUUAAGCCGGGAAUAUCAAGGGAACAUCCGCAACCCUUGUGCGACCCUUCACUCCAUCAGUUCUCCUUUCCGGAGUUCAUAUCCAAACGAAUCCAGUCGAGGGCAAUCCGAUCUUAGGGUCCUUCAAGUGGUAUCAGAGCCCACUCGUCUGGUAUUCUCUAUCUCGAUCCACC
RNAcentral lists this long non-coding RNA (622 nucleotides) under Brassica rapa (field mustard). RNAcentral describes it as "long non-coding RNA (BRAP_LNC008812)". The record is from RNAcentral. Lineage: Eukaryota; Viridiplantae; Streptophyta; Magnoliopsida; Brassicales; Brassicaceae.